RNAcentral lists this ribosomal RNA (253 nucleotides) under uncultured bacterium. Its description in RNAcentral is "partial 16S ribosomal RNA". It matches the Rfam family "Bacterial small subunit ribosomal RNA", at positions 524 to 776 of the family's 1533-position model. The record is from RNAcentral.
UACGGGGGGGGCAAGCGUUGUUCGGAAUUACUGGGCGUAAAGGGCUCGUAGGCGGCCAACUAAGUCGGACGUGAAAUCCCCAGGCUCAACCUGGGAACUGCGUCCGAUACUGGAUGGCUUGAAUCCGGGAGAGGGAUGCAGAAUUCCAGGUGUGGCGGUGAAAUGCGUAGAUAUCUGGAGGAAUACCGGUGGCGAAGGCGGCAUCCUGGACCGGCAUUGACGCUGAGGAGCGAAAGCCAGGGGAGCAAACGGG